AACGAACGCUGGCGGCAGGCCUAACACAUGCAAGUCGAGCGAACCCUUCGGGGUUAGCGGCGGACGGGUUAGUAACGCGUGGGAAUAUACCCUUUGGUACGGAAUAGCCUCGGGAAACUGAGAGUAAUACCGUAUGUGCCCUUCGGGGGAAAGAUUUAUCGCCAAAGGAUUAGCCCGCGUUGGAUUAGAUAGUUGGUGGGGUAAUGGCCUACCAAGUCUACGAUCCAUAGCUUGUUUGAGAGGAUGAUCAGCAACACUGGGACUGAGACACGGCCCAGACUCCUACGGGAGGCAGCAGUGGGGAAUCUUAGACAAUGGGCGCAAGCCUGAUCUAGCCAUGCCGCGUGGACGAUGAAGGCCUUAGGGUUGUAAAGUCCUUUCAGAUGGGAAGAUAAUGACGGUACCAUCAGAAGAAGCCCCGGCUAACUCCGUG
RNAcentral lists this ribosomal RNA (433 nucleotides) under uncultured bacterium. Its description in RNAcentral is "bacterial SSU rRNA". It matches the Rfam family "Bacterial small subunit ribosomal RNA", at positions 29 to 507 of the family's 1533-position model. The record is from RNAcentral.